GUCCACGGCCAUGCUAUCCUGAACAAGCCUGAUCCCAUCUGAUCUCGGAAGCUAGGGUUGAGCCUGGUUAGUACUUGGAUGGGAGACCACCUAGGAAGACCAGGUGCUGUAGGCU
Molecule: ribosomal RNA, 115 nt
Filed under: Pteropus alecto (black flying fox)
Lineage: Eukaryota; Metazoa; Chordata; Mammalia; Chiroptera; Pteropodidae
Source: RNAcentral